RNAcentral lists this unclassified non-coding RNA (139 nucleotides) under Moritella viscosa. RNAcentral's name for it is "putative sRNA". The record is from RNAcentral. Lineage: Bacteria; Pseudomonadati; Pseudomonadota; Gammaproteobacteria; Alteromonadales; Moritellaceae.
AUUUAUAAAAGACACCUUACACCAAAUUUUUGCCACAACAUAGAAUUAGCCGCAACAGAAUCGGUAAAGUAAGAUAAAUUAAACCAAAGCAUGAGAGAGAGAAAUUAGGAGUACUGGAAUGGAGAAAAGUUCAGUGAAU